AGCGACAAUACUUCAGAGAAUCAUUUCUAUAGUAGUUGUCCUCUCUUGUGUUUCCUAAAGGAGCCACAGAUCCCACCCGGGUUGAUGAACGAGAUCCUCGGCGCCAGUGAGGUCCAUUUACUCUCGCUCUACCUGCAAAGGUGGCGGUCGCGUGCCUCGUCUCGCGGCUGUAUAGAGAGUGGCGAUGAUCUGUACCCCGCGGGGUGGGUGUCGAUGGAAGUCUGACCGGC
RNAcentral lists this small nucleolar RNA (230 nucleotides) under Thermochaetoides thermophila. Its description in RNAcentral is "U3 snoRNA from Chaetomium thermophilum (PDB 6RXY, chain C2)". It matches the Rfam family "Fungal small nucleolar RNA U3". From Rfam's summary of the family: Small nucleolar RNAs (snoRNAs) are involved in the processing and modification of rRNA in the nucleolus. There are two main classes of snoRNAs: the box C/D class, and the box H/ACA class. The record is from RNAcentral. RNAcentral also lists the same sequence under 1 other name. Lineage: Eukaryota; Fungi; Ascomycota; Sordariomycetes; Sordariales; Chaetomiaceae.